UUAACUAUUAUAUAGUACUCAGACAUCACUAAAAACAGAGUUUGUUUCCUCUGGCAGGCACGCACGUACCGAAGCCCGUGGUGUUUCCACGGCCUGCCAAAGCAACGAAGGUAUAAUAUUCAAGGGUGGGAGAUCUACCCGUGAGGGCAUGAACUCUGUAAUGAUCCCUCCGCAGGUUCACCUACGGAGA
This 190-nucleotide unclassified non-coding RNA is filed under the name uncultured fungus. RNAcentral's name for it is "sequence contains ITS1, 5.8S rRNA gene". Lineage: Eukaryota; Fungi. The record is from RNAcentral.